GGGGGUGAAAUUGGUUUCGACGGGGUUAAUGAUGCAUCGAACAGCACAUCGUGGUUUCCCGAAAAUCACGUUAAAAAUUCGGACAAAAAAAUAACUGGCGAAUCUAAUUACGCCCUAGCUGCCUAAUAAAAGGGUAGCCGUUCAUUAUUCUUUUUCCUGUUGGAGUUUAAUUGAACGCCGUUUAAAUAGGAUAGCUUAGUUGAAUGUCUGAGGCAACGAAGCGAAAACAAAUCAGAUAUACUUUUCAAAAUCCUGUUUGCCGGAGAUUGAAAAGCGUACAAUAAAAGACAGACUAUGUGUGUAGACGUUCGUUGAAGCAUAGCUUCGGACGCGGGUUCGACUCCCGCCACCUCCACAA
RNAcentral lists this transfer-messenger RNA (358 nucleotides) under Ignavibacteria bacterium. It matches the Rfam family "transfer-messenger RNA". Rfam says of the family: Bacterial tmRNA, also known as 10Sa RNA or SsrA, is named for its dual tRNA and mRNA-like properties. Its role is to liberate the mRNA from a stalled ribosome. The record is from RNAcentral. Lineage: Bacteria; Pseudomonadati; Ignavibacteriota; Ignavibacteria.